This 1522-nucleotide ribosomal RNA is filed under the name Escherichia coli ISC7. RNAcentral describes it as "SSU rRNA". It matches the Rfam family "Bacterial small subunit ribosomal RNA". Lineage: Bacteria; Pseudomonadati; Pseudomonadota; Gammaproteobacteria; Enterobacterales; Enterobacteriaceae. The record is from RNAcentral.
AAAUUGAAGAGUUUGAUCAUGGCUCAGAUUGAACGCUGGCGGCAGGCCUAACACAUGCAAGUCGAACGGUAACAGGAAACAGCUUGCUGUUUCGCUGACGAGUGGCGGACGGGUGAGUAAUGUCUGGGAAACUGCCUGAUGGAGGGGGAUAACUACUGGAAACGGUAGCUAAUACCGCAUAACGUCGCAAGACCAAAGAGGGGGACCUUCGGGCCUCUUGCCAUCGGAUGUGCCCAGAUGGGAUUAGCUUGUUGGUGGGGUAACGGCUCACCAAGGCGACGAUCCCUAGCUGGUCUGAGAGGAUGACCAGCCACACUGGAACUGAGACACGGUCCAGACUCCUACGGGAGGCAGCAGUGGGGAAUAUUGCACAAUGGGCGCAAGCCUGAUGCAGCCAUGCCGCGUGUAUGAAGAAGGCCUCGGGUUGUAAAGUACUUUCAGCGGGGAGGAAGGGAGUAAAGUUAAUACCUUUGCUCAUUGACGUUACCCGCAGAAGAAGCACCGGCUAACUCCGUGCCAGCAGCCGCGGUAAUACGGAGGGUGCAAGCGUUAAUCGGAAUUACUGGGCGUAAAGCGCACGCAGGCGGUUUGUUAAGUCAGAUGUGAAAUCCCCGGGCUCAACCUGGGAACUGCAUCUGAUACUGGCAAGCUUGAGUCUCGUAGAGGGGGGUAGAAUUCCAGGUGUAGCGGUGAAAUGCGUAGAGAUCUGGAGGAAUACCGGUGGCGAAGGCGGCCCCCUGGACGAAGACUGACGCUCAGGUGCGAAAGCGUGGGGAGCAAACAGGAUUAGAUACCCUGGUAGUCCACGCCGUAAACGAUGUCGACUUGGAGGUUGUGCCCUUGAGGCGUGGCUUCCGGAGCUAACGCGUUAAGUCGACCGCCUGGGGAGUACGGCCGCAAGGUUAAAACUCAAAUGAAUUGACGGGGGCCCGCACAAGCGGUGGAGCAUGUGGUUUAAUUCGAUGCAACGCGAAGAACCUUACCUGGUCUUGACAUCCACGGAAGUUUUCAGAGAUGAGAAUGUGCCUUCGGGAACCGUGAGACAGGUGCUGCAUGGCUGUCGUCAGCUCGUGUUGUGAAAUGUUGGGUUAAGUCCCGCAACGAGCGCAACCCUUAUCCUUUGUUGCCAGCGGUCCGGCCGGGAACUCAAAGGAGACUGCCAGUGAUAAACUGGAGGAAGGUGGGGAUGACGUCAAGUCAUCAUGGCCCUUACGACCAGGGCUACACACGUGCUACAAUGGCGCAUACAAAGAGAAGCGACCUCGCGAGAGCAAGCGGACCUCAUAAAGUGCGUCGUAGUCCGGAUUGGAGUCUGCAACUCGACUCCAUGAAGUCGGAAUCGCUAGUAAUCGUGGAUCAGAAUGCCACGGUGAAUACGUUCCCGGGCCUUGUACACACCGCCCGUCACACCAUGGGAGUGGGUUGCAAAAGAAGUAGGUAGCUUAACCUUCGGGAGGGCGCUUACCACUUUGUGAUUCAUGACUGGGGUGAAGUCGUAACAAGGUAACCGUAGGGGACCUGC